AUACCUUUCUCGGCCUUUUGGCUAAGAUCAAGUGUAGUAUCUGUUCUUAUCAGUUUAAUAUCUGAUACGUGGGCCAAUGGCCCACAUGAUAUUAAAUUUAUUUUUUUAGGGGGAAGGCCCAAUAGGCAGCUUGCUGUGUGGGUCUUUGGGCUUCGUCCAUGGAUUGCACUAUUUCAUGGGCCUGGAGCACCCCAC
This is a small nuclear RNA of Andrographis paniculata, 195 nucleotides long. RefSeq annotates it as U2 spliceosomal RNA. The transcript has a single exon. NCBI's taxonomy places the organism in Eukaryota, Viridiplantae, Streptophyta, Magnoliopsida, Lamiales, Acanthaceae. The record is from RefSeq and is a predicted model, not a curated record.